CCCUUAGACGUUCUGGGCCGCACGCGCGCUACACUGACCAGUGCAACAAGCAUCCGUCCUUGGCCGACAGGCCCGGGCAAUCUUUGAACGCUGGUCGUGAUGGGGAUAGACUUUUGCAAUUUUUGGUCUUCAACGAGGAAUUCCUAGUAAACGCAAGUCAUCAACUUGCAUUGCUUACGUCCCUGCCCUUUGUACACACCGCCCGUCGCACCUACCGAUUGAAUGGUCCGGUGAAGCCUCCGGAUUGGCGCGCACCUCGGUGCCGCCGAGAAGUUGGCUAAACCUUACCAUUUAGAGGAAGGUGAAGUCGUAACA
RNAcentral lists this ribosomal RNA (315 nucleotides) under uncultured eukaryote. Its description in RNAcentral is "partial 18S ribosomal RNA". It matches the Rfam family "Eukaryotic small subunit ribosomal RNA", at positions 1470 to 1796 of the family's 1831-position model. The record is from RNAcentral.